RNAcentral lists this unclassified non-coding RNA (659 nucleotides) under Trichoderma citrinoviride. Its description in RNAcentral is "sequence contains 18S rRNA gene, ITS1, 5.8S rRNA gene, ITS2, 28S rRNA gene". The stretch from base 276 to 429 matches the Rfam family "5.8S ribosomal RNA". The record is from RNAcentral. Lineage: Eukaryota; Fungi; Ascomycota; Sordariomycetes; Hypocreales; Hypocreaceae.
UGGAAGUAAAAGUCGUAACAAGGUCUCCGUUGGUGAACCAGCGGAGGGAUCAUUACCGAGUUUACAACUCCCAAACCCAAUGUGAACGUUACCAAUCUGUUGCCUCGGCGGGACUCUCUGCCCCGGGCGCGUCGCAGCCCCGGAUCCCAUGGCGCCCGCCGGAGGACCAACUCAAACUCUUUUUUCUCUCCGUCGCGGCCUACGUCGCGGCUCUGUUUUAUUUUUGCUCUGAGCCUUUCUCGGCGACCCUAGCGGGCGUCUCGAAAAUGAAUCAAAACUUUCAACAACGGAUCUCUUGGUUCUGGCAUCGAUGAAGAACGCAGCGAAAUGCGAUAAGUAAUGUGAAUUGCAGAAUUCAGUGAAUCAUCGAAUCUUUGAACGCACAUUGCGCCCGCCAGUAUUCUGGCGGGCAUGCCUGUCCGAGCGUCAUUUCAACCCUCGAACCCCUCCGGGGGGUCGGCGUUGGGGAUCGGCCCCUCACCGGGCCGCCCCCGAAAUACAGUGGCGGUCUCGCCGCAGCCUCUCCUGCGCAGUAGUUUGCACACUCGCACCGGGAGCGCGGCGCGGCCACAGCCGUAAAACACCCCAAACUCUGAAAUGUUGACCUCGGAUCAGGUAGGAAUACCCGCUGAACUUAAGCAUAUCAAUAAGCGGAGGAA